UGGUCAUCGAAGAAUCAUAGGAUUUUUUAGUAUACCAUUGGACGUUUCCUGAUCAUUCUUUUGGGAUUUGAGAAGCCAAAGUACCUCAAGAGGUAGUCCUAUCAACGACGCCAUCAGCUCAACAGUUACAACAACAUCCAAUAAUAACAACAGAUAAGAUAAUGCCAAAUAACAACUACACACAAGAUAGACAUCAGGCUGAACUGUUAAAUCUAAUCAUGAAAAUUUAACAAUGAAACCAGCUUUAGCAUGAUACUAGCAGCCCGAAACAAAAUCCAAACACGUGACUUUAGUGUGAAAAACCAGCUUAUUCAAGACAUCAUUGGCCCAACACUUACUAAAACAUGAACCUUUGACGUAAAAUCAAUUAUAACAAGACCCCAUUAACCCGAAAACCACUAAAGCAUGUAACUUCAAACCAUGAAAUCAACCAUAACAACAUAUCAUCAACCAAAAUUCGCAACGCAUGGGAUUUGAGCAAGAUCAGCUAUACGGACUUUAAACAGUACACAAAAAGUGAGAGUAUAAAAUCAAAAAAUCUACCAACAACUACCUAUGGAUAUCAAAUCCAUCUACCAACAAACAAUUCCAACAUACAAUGUUACUAAAAAAUUUAUUCACGACUAUGAAAGAUUGAGAUGAAGCAGAAGAGAUCGAAACUUGAACGGAAAAGGAUAUUACCUAUUCAGGAGCAGCAAAAUGAGACGACGAACUGGUUACAGAGAUCAUGACCACCAGAAAACUUCUUCACCGUCAACUCAAAACAUUAAUUUAGCCUACCAACUUUCAAAACAAGGACAAAAUUCCUACUCCAGACUCAAUUUUCUCAAAAAUUUCUUUCUCUUUAUCUUUCUUCCUUGGAUUUUUCUGAAUCCAAAAAUUCUAACUUAGCUUUUCUAAAUAAUUCCCCUCUUCCAGACCCAAGAUUUUGAACCCUAACAACAGUGACCCAGAAGAAAAACCAUCCUUUUUUUUCUUGCUCUAAAGAGAGCUAUUUAUAGAAAGGGGGAUUAAGGGUUCAUUUUUUGAAUUCAAAAUAUGAGAAUGCUAACAAAUUGUACCCCUUAUUGGAUUUCUCCCCCCCAAAUUCGGAAUAAGUAUCCAAUAGGAAUGAGGAGACCAGAAUUAUUUCAUGAACCAAUCAAAUUUUGCCAAACAUGUACGAAAAUCAUACCAUUAUCCUGAGAUUCACAGAUUUUAGCCGUUGAGGGUGACACCUAGCUUGUUCUAGAAGAUUUUUAAAUCCUUUUCUUGUCCUACGGAUGCGUGAGAUGUGCCUGAAGAAAAAUAGAUGGGUUGGGGCUGAUGGAAUCGGGUUUUCGCUGAUGUCGUUGGAGCCGAUGGGAUCGGGUAUUUAGAGUUGGUUGGUGUUGGUUUCUCAAUGUUUGGAAGCUGUUGUACGUGUAUAUUUGCUGUUCUGUAUCCUGAAGAAAGGAAAAAGGGAUGGACC
RNAcentral lists this long non-coding RNA (1450 nucleotides) under Capsicum annuum. RNAcentral describes it as "long non-coding RNA (CANN_LNC003328)". The record is from RNAcentral. Lineage: Eukaryota; Viridiplantae; Streptophyta; Magnoliopsida; Solanales; Solanaceae.